Molecule: ribosomal RNA, 495 nt
Filed under: uncultured bacterium
Lineage: Bacteria
Description: partial 16S ribosomal RNA
Rfam family: Bacterial small subunit ribosomal RNA
Source: RNAcentral
GAUGAACGCUGGCGGCGUGCUUAACACAUGCAAGUCGAGCGAAGCACUUUGGUUUGAUUCUUCGGAUGAAGACCUUUGUGACUGAGCGGCGGACGGGUGAGUAACGCGUGGGUAACCUGCCUCAUACAGGGGGAUAACAGUUAGAAAUGACUGCUAAUACCGCAUAAGACCACGGUACCGCAUGGUACAGUGGUAGAAACUCCGGUGGUAUGAGAUGGAACAGCGUCUGAUUAGGGAGUUGGUGGGGUAACGGCCUACCAAGCCGACGAUCGGGAGGCGACCUGAGAGGGGUACCGGCCACAUUGGGACUGAGACACGGCCAAGACUCCUACGGGAGGCAGCAGUGGGGAAUAUUGCACAAUGGAGGAAACUCUGAUGCAGCGACGCCGCGUGAAGGAUGAAGUAUUUCGGUAUGUAAACUUCUAUCAGCAGGGAAGAAAAUGACGGUACCUGACUAAGAAGCCCCGGCUAACUACGUGCCAGCAGCCGCGGUAA